This 954-nucleotide long non-coding RNA is filed under the name Polistes fuscatus (common paper wasp). RNAcentral describes it as "uncharacterized LOC122526233". Lineage: Eukaryota; Metazoa; Arthropoda; Insecta; Hymenoptera; Vespidae. The record is from RNAcentral.
UUAAUAGAUAUUUACCUAACAAAGUCUUCCACGUGUCUCAUACUUUGUUCAUAAUUCUUUCCACCUACUUCUUGGCAGUGCAGCGCUAUAAACUUCGAAUCCAAACGUGAUAUAGUCUAAAAAAAGGAAAUUACAAAAGGAUGCGACUUAAUGCCAUUUAAUUCUCGAGAUAAUACUGAUAGUAGUAAAGCUUACCGAUAAAAAUUCUUUUGUCCAUAUCUUUAACAUGACAUCAGGCUGCAAAGUAAAAAAAAGAAAAGAACAUUAUUACAAGAGUCAUUCAAGGAACGUCAAAAUAAUUAUACAUUAAAUAUUACGUUGGAAAUAAGUUAGGGGGAAAAGAAAAAGAAAAGGAGCGUGUUUAUAUUCAGUAAAUCAAAUAUCAAACAAUCGUACGCCUCGAUUCGCGGUAAAUGCUUUGCACUUGAUAAACAGUACCGGCACACAUGCAUGCAUACAUAUGUAUAUGAGAAUAUUCGUACGCUAAACGAUAUAAAUCGUCAUAUUAAACUGAAUUGAAUUGUGACGAUAAAAUAUUUUUAUUUCACAUACACACAUGUAUAUGCAUCCAAAAGAGGCAAUGAAAAUAUUACUCAACAAUGCAUAACGCAUUUGACAGCUUUCUUUCAAACGAAUCAAUUGGUACAAAAUGAUAGCAAAAUUAAAAGAAUUAAAUGUACGUACACAAAUAGAGAAUAGGAUAAUCAAAGCAAAAUAAAAUACAUACGUGACGAAAGCGCGCGAAAUGGGAUACAAGAUGAGAAAUUGAGACAUAGAAUACUUAUCGUAAAAAAGUUUCGAAAUAAAAGAGAAUAAGAAAAUUUAAUAAAACAUACCUCUUCGAAGAUACUGCCGACGUUUGCAGUGAUCAAAAGAAUCGGGACACCUUCGAUGGUAGCCAUUCUCGAAGGCUUGACGAAUAUAGCAAGAAGAAGAAGAAGAAGAAGAUGAUGA